AGGAUGGGCAGCUGAGCUGACAUUGCCAGGACUACAACCUGCAAUUCUGAGGCUGGCAUAGGUGCGUCAUCUAACUGACUGAGCUAUGUAACCAGCGCUUUUGGUACUGAAGGAGUUAAAUCAACAGCACAUACCUGAAGAGUUUCACUUCAUCAUCCCCAAAAGAACAUAUCUUCUUUUCCUCCAAACUAUGAUGUCCCAUUACACUGUCCCCGGUCAGUCUUGGUACUUUCCUUCCUUGUCUCUCUCCUUUCCUUUUCUGUGACUUCAGUGUUUAAUCCCAAGAUCGUAAUGUUUGUGCAAUGAUAUGGGCAUGAUACAGAGACAGCUGUACUCUAUUUACCAACCAGAAAAGGUUCCGUGUGAUGGGAAAGAAAGCUGUACAAAGCAUCACUGCAUAGACAAAGCAAAAGACUAUUGCUAAAUUGUAUUUAAAAUGUCAUGUAAUCACUCACAGAAACAAAGUUGCCAUCUUCAGACUAUAAUAUUGAUACUUUUUAAAAAAAAAAGAUUUUUCUUCAGUCCAACUAGACCUAUGCCUAGGGCAACAGGAUUACGAAGCAACACAUUUUAACCCUUUAAGGACACAACUUUCAAUUUGCUCAAUUGUUUUAUGACGGAAAAAUUCUGUCAUAUGUCCUUAAGAGGUUAAGGAAGAGUCCUAUUGUUUGAUGCUUUCCCACCUCUACAUGGUCCAGAUGUUUUAUUUAUUAUUUUUAUUACAAUCAGUGAUCUCUUCUUGACUACUGGGGCUGCACAACCUCUCUGUUUGCCCCAGGCUACCUAUUGGGAGAAAUCUAUCAGGUAAAUAUGAGAUAAAAUUAUUUGGGUGGGGGUGUUAGAUUUCCCAGUACACAGAGCAGCACAAAAACUAAAUAUGCUACUGAAUGUUAAUUAAAACUGGUAGCAAUAGAGUGAAUCAUUCAACAUGAAAUACAAAAAGCAUUCAUUUCUAAACAAUUCAUUUCAAGCACUUACAUCUGCUAUAAAGAACUUUACAACACUGGAGCAUCUCGAGGACUUACAGCCUCUGAUACCAGAAGUGCUGUUGUCCUAUGAGAAUAGAGGAACCCUUUCUGAUAUCUACCACACACUGAUCAAUGAUAACCCCACACCGAUUCCUAUGAGGCCUUUCUGAGACAUAACAAUGAUUGUAUAGUAGGUACUCACCCACCACCUGUGUCUCUGGACAUUCUCAGACUUCUUCUGGUAGGUCUGGAAUCAGCAGGAUGGCCCAGAGCUUUAACACACUUGUGGGUGGUCCAAGGUAAACACAGGACAGGUGUACAGUGACACCUCAGGCACAGGGGAUAAGGGAGCAGAUUCCCAGCAAAUCAGAAAGUGCUGGAACUGAGGGAUGAUAACAUGGUAUGGAUAGUCUCAGAACCGUUUGAGGUAGUUAAGAUAUAAAGGUCAGACACAGAUCAGCUCCCUGUCUUUCACUGACACCUACACACAGUGCUGUCCCCGUAGCUUACACAUACAAGUGUCGUCCCUGUAGCUUACACAUACACACAGACAGUACAUACACACAGUGCCAGUAACUGUAGCUCACACACAUAUACACACAGUGCCAGUAACUGUAGCUCACACACAUAUACACACAGUGCCAGUAACUGUAGCUCACACACAUAUACACACAGUGCUGUCACUGUAGCUCACACACAUAUACACACAGUGCCAGUAACUGUAGCUCACACACACAUAUACACACAGUGCCAGUAACUGUAGCUCACACACAUAUACACACAGUGCUGUCACUGUAGCUCACACACAUAUACACACAGUGCCAGUAACUGUAGCUCACACACACAUAUACACACAGUGCCAGUAACUGUAGCUCACACACAUAUAUACACAUGCAGUGAUGUCCCUAUAUAUACAAACAGUGCAUGGAUUUCACACACAUAUACAUCUACACACAGUGCUGUCCCUGUAUCUCACACAAAGUGACAAGAAAGUGAAAAGACUUGGUAGGGUGACAAUUAGAUUAACAGGUCCCUGGAGAACAGGUAAGUAGAUGACAGAGGGACACAUAGAGUAGAUCCCUAGAAUACAGAUACACAGACAGAAUAAAGAUAUACAUAAAGGACAGUGGGACACAGAAACAGGACAGAGAACCACACACACGACAGAGGGACACACAGGCAGGACAGAGGGACACACAAUUCUCGGGAGCCCUUUCACACAGAGUGACAGCCACACUGACAAGUCUCUGGGGAUCUCACACACACACUCUGAAUGUCACGCUGAACCAGGGCUGGGCUCACUGACUCUGCCCCUCUGGGUGUUUCCUUCUUACACACAGUGAGAGGUUGGCAGCUAGCUACUCAGCCUGUGAGCUGCAUACACAUUAGAUUGCAAGCUCAUUGGGGCACUAGUCAAUCUGCUGUGUUAUAUAGGCUCAGAGAAUUUCUGGUUUGCAUUAAAUAGUAAAGGAAUACACAAUCAAUUCACCAUCUCAUCUACAUUCAAAAAAUAUCUAUUUUCCUAAGUGUUUAGACUGUACUGUCACAGUAACGCUUUUUGUAUAUGAACAGACAUUAUGGCACCAAUGUCACACAUCAUGAGAGGUUAAACAUUUAAAAAUAAACAGCAGCAAUAAUAAAACCUUUCUGAAUGUAUUAACAGUCUGGUUUACCAGGAACACAGUUCCAGGUAGCAUAUUAGGUAUUUAUUUGUUAGCAGCACUCGAGAAUACACGGACAGUUCUCCCAAACAUUUUCUCCCCAUUAAAUUAUUCCCAAUGAUCCCUUUUACCUGCUAGAGUGUAUAAAAUUGGUUACAAGUAGCUGCUUUACUCCUAUUUCAGCAAUUAAAAUAGCUGAUUUAGCUUCUGCUAUAGCCACCUAUACUGAAAGUUUUUAUACUGGAGUAUAUGCUAUUGACAAGCCUAAGUAAACACAGCCAGCAGAAGUUACACUCUCAGUGGGAUGCAGGAUAGUUAAGUAAUAAAAUGAUAAUUGUCCAUUGUUCUCUUUAUGUAUUGAGCUUUGGUGUUCCAGACAAAUAUAAGAUAAGGAAGCAAAUGUGUGUACACAAAGUUAUAACAUAAUGAGAUCUGAUAUUACCUUUAAGUUUAACCCAUUGUAAUAGACUGUGGUUUCAAAGCAUAAAAUCAGCUACUUCCUAUACACAUAUAAGAAUGAAAAUGCAAUUUCUCAAAUAUUUUAUACUCUGCAGUUGGUAUAACAAGUUAUUUAAAAUACAUUAAUGGAAAAACAA
Bombina bombina (fire-bellied toad) is the source of this 3225-nucleotide long non-coding RNA. RefSeq lists it as uncharacterized. NCBI's taxonomy places the organism in Eukaryota, Metazoa, Chordata, Amphibia, Anura, Bombinatoridae. The record is from RefSeq and is a predicted model, not a curated record. The transcript is spliced from 3 exons.